GUUUUAGCCAAAUGGAAAGCCUAGACCAAUAUAGGGUUUUGUUUUGUUGUUGUUGUUGUUGUUGUUUUAAUGUCAGUAUUAAAACAGCUGACGGCAAAUUAAGCCAGAUGGCUUAGAACGUGUGAUUUGAUUCAUUCCUGCAUAGAUGCUGGGGUGCCUAGAAAAAUCUCAGCUCCUCCUGUAUGCACCACACAUUUUGGGUUUGAUUUCUAGGUCUUUCAAAGACAGAAGCCUUCCAUAACGUACUUCAUCAGUAUCUUCUUCAGUAUUUUGUUGGGCUUGGGACCAGCAGGAGAUGGAUCUUGUCAGCGUGGAUGGAGCUUGAUGUUCGUGUGCUUUUCAUCAAAGAGUUUGUGUUUAGGUUGCACUGAGGCUGUGGGAGGAAGACUGCAUCACAGACUGCACUUUAUGGACUGCUGGAGUGAUUACAGAUGCAGAAAUCAAAGGAGAUGAAGAGGAGAAAAGCAAAUCCUCCAUGGUGUAGCAGAGCACUGUGCUGUGCUGAGCCUUGGAUAAAGCAUGGGAGAGCUGAGGCCAUAUUUAUCAAAACUUCGCUUGCAGUUUUCCUGGUGGAUGGCUUUCUUCCUGAAGUGGUGCUAAACCCCAUGAAAUACAGCAGAUCUCUAUGCAGAAUCGAGGGACGCUGAUGUUUGCUAAGUCAACCUGCAGCAAUUCCAGGCAGGUUCCUCUGAGCUCUCCGACUUGCACGUCUCAUCUGGAAUGUUUUUUUAUCAGCAGCACAGAGAGGGUUUCUAGCAGUUAAAUCCCCAACGUGUACGUGGAAUUAAGGGCCAUUGCAUACAUCCUGGUUACCUCUAACUGUUCGAGCCUUAUUUGUGCAAAACAAUAAAACAUGUUAAACAUUAAAGUGGAGAAGUGAUA
Molecule: long non-coding RNA, 882 nt
Filed under: Pavo cristatus (Indian peafowl)
Lineage: Eukaryota; Metazoa; Chordata; Aves; Galliformes; Phasianidae
Description: lncRNA (ENSPSTG00000009611.1)
Source: RNAcentral